CAAACAAAACCAACUCGAUGGCUGUCUGCUAACCGGUGACAUCUAAGCUGAUCGGAGCAAAUUCCCAUUGUUGCCUACAAAGGCUCCUCCGAGUGUUUCGACACUACCCUAUGUUACCCGGAGGCUGACUUUGUCCCGGAGUGUCAAGGUGCCUUCACUGUACUUCGACUGACUGCUUCCAUUUAUGAAAGACUACCAAGGCGCUUGACUGCUACUGAUACAUGAAGACCCCUGUUUGCUGGCUUCAUCUCAAGAACUUUGCUGCAAAAAUGGCUGCUGUUACUGCUACACCCAGAAAAACCACAGGACAAAACCCACG
Molecule: long non-coding RNA, 319 nt
Organism: Cydia splendana
Lineage: Eukaryota; Metazoa; Arthropoda; Insecta; Lepidoptera; Tortricidae
Exons: 3
Source: RefSeq, a predicted model, not a curated record